Non-coding RNA from Odocoileus virginianus texanus, 1464 nucleotides. NCBI's taxonomy places the organism in Eukaryota, Metazoa, Chordata, Mammalia, Artiodactyla, Cervidae. The record is from RefSeq and is a predicted model, not a curated record.
UUGGAAACGAGGUUAUCAUGGCUUUUGGGCCAUUCACCGUUUUCUCUAUUCUUCUGCUUAGUUGUCUUCUCCAGCCACAUGCACAUCAGCUCCUUCUCCAGGAUGGCCUGAAAAAACCAAGGCCUCCACACGGGCCAAGCUCUGAAUCCAGGUCAUCUCCUCCUCUGACACCCUGAGUUUCUCUUUUGCGGUCUUCAGCGCUUGAUACCUAUUCAAUUCAUACAAUGAAAUUCUCAACACUAGUCUUCAGCGAGUCUCAUGCAUGCACUAAUCUUUGAUCACCACAUUCUAUUUCUCAAACAGCUUGAAGAGGUCAGAGAAAGAUUCUCUCGUGGAGUUCAGGCCUCUUUCAGGACCUUCUACAUCUCAGCUUUGCUGGGUUUUCUCACUGCCUGGUGCAUGAUCCGCUUGAACUCUGCCAUGAUCUUCCCCGCCUCCAGGUCCUCCACGCGGCAAAGGACAUGCGGGACCAGUUGGGGCUCCAAGGAGGUCAAGUCCCAGCCCCCCGACCGCAGGCGGGCCUUGUAAGGACGAUGCCUCUGGGUCUCGGGAGAGGUGGGUUUCGGCGCCAGUUGGCCGAUCUCUCAUGGCUGCUCUUCAGGAGUGGUCAAGCUGGAGAUAUAAGGACAGUUUCCUCAGGUUAAUUCUUAAACGAGGGAGUCACAAACUGCUCCAGAAAGUCCAGGUUGGCCGGAACCCGGCAUUCGGCUGGGUCUUGGAGGUGCUCCUGGGUCAAGUGGGGCAUAUCAGAUGUGACUGUGGUGAGAGCAGGCGCAGCCCACGCACUCGGUUUCCCUGCUCGCCCGCCGCCCCUGCGAUGCAGAACGUGGUCUUACCACCGAGUCAUGUCCGUCCGCUGAGGCUAAGCCAGAGCCACUUCCUCACAGGUGAGUCUCUGAGGCCACAGGCCCAGAGUAUCGUUCCUCCGCCACGGCCAGGCCGCCCCUCUUUGGGGGCCCGGCUGCCCUGCCACCUUCGAAUGGGUUGGUUUGGGUGGUCCAGUGUGUCCCAGUCCAGUUUGUCGGCCCUUGAAAAAGGGUCCCGGAAGUCUCAUCCGCCUCCUGGGGUCUUUUCUGGCCUCGCCUUUUGGCAUUGGGUCUCUUCCUCGGCUGCCUUGGUCCGGGUGGCUUCAUCAGAGGAGUCAAAUUCUGGGCUGAUGGGCCCACUGCUUAAACCAUCGGCCGGUUGGCCAUUGGCUGCUUCUUGCUGAGGACUUGGGGACCCGGCCCCUCCAGGGUUCAGAGGGUGGGCGGGGGCUGUGUUUCCAGGACCGGAAGUGACCUGGGGCCAGCAAGGCACGUCUUCAGGGAGCCCUUCUCCACCAGGCAUGUCUUGAUCAAAAAGUGGGAAGUACGUCUUGCAUUUCCUCGAAGAUCCGACCAAGGGGUUAAAUUUAAUUGCCUGAUGGUAAAGUACAGCUAUUAGCUGCAAGGCAAGAACCUUGGAGUGGGUUGCCACUUCUUC